Molecule: long non-coding RNA, 1547 nt
Organism: Salmo trutta (river trout)
Lineage: Eukaryota; Metazoa; Chordata; Actinopteri; Salmoniformes; Salmonidae
Source: Ensembl
GGAAGUAUGUAAAUGUACAGUAACAUUUAUAAUCCCAUUCUUCUACCAAUGGCAGCAGCAGCUUCCCUCUGAUGAAUGGGAUGGCUUGGGUUAGUACUCGACCCCCGGACAAAGGGCAGCAAGUGGUCCUGCUUCCAGAGCAGGAUGUCAGAAUACUGCAGGCUCCUAAUCUGCAUUGGAGUGUUGGGAGAGAAGACUGACCGCAGAAAGUCUAUGAUGGUUAAAGCUGUUAUAGUCUUGUGUUUGUGCUAACAUUCCACUACUUGACACUUCUUGUCAUGCCAAACAGUCUUGCAUGACAAGAAUCAAUCAAAAUCAAAUCAAAGUUAUUUGUCACGUGCACAGGAUACACUGUGUAAGUGUGUGUAAGUGUAAAUUCAUGAAUGUGGGUGUGCGUGAGUGUGUGUGGGUGGGAAUGUGUGGAGUGGUGUGCGUAGACAGCCAGUGAUUGCAGGUAGACAGUCGUUGUUAAACUGUUCAGCAGUUUUAAUGCUUCAGAGUUCGCCCCCAGUGAUGAACGGUGCAGCCUUCAGCACCCUCUGUAGAGCCUUGUGGUGGAGAGGGGUGCAGCUUCCGUACCAGGCGGUGAUACAGCCAGUCAGUAUGCAGCUCAAUGGUACAUCUGUAGAAACUGGUGCCAGGUUUUUUUCAGCCACCUGAGGAAGAACAGACGCUGGCGUGCCUUCUUGAUAAAUGCACCAAGGAGUGGAAUGUUACCACUAACACACCAGAUUUCUGCAUGCUAGUAGUGUGUCCUAGUAUUUACAAUCAUAUGUAACCAUGUUCAUUUUUAAAUGUAUUUUGUCUUUGUAAUAGGGUGGUGCAUUUCCUAAUUUCUCUCAUUUACUUAUAUUAAUGUAGUGAAUAUAAAUUACUGUUUUAAUGUUGAAAUGUUGACAUUUAACACCAUUCAGUUUCUACAAAUGUGUUGAACUAUAAGGGUGCAGAGUCAUGUUAUUAAUAGUCAGAUUGUAUGUUUCUGACUGGCUACUCUGUUCUCUGGUGGUACUGUAGCCUACACAGGUCCAUCCACCACAGAGAUAGAAGGAAAAUACAUAUCCUAGAGGGCAAUAGCAAGCCUCUAUGGAAACAGUGUAGUCAGAACAUUAUAUGCAAUUUUGAGUGUUGUCAUGUAUUUUUCUGUUUAAUUAAUUGGUCUGAAUUUUCAUAUCUUAUCAAAAAGUCCUUUAUUACUCAGAUGUUUACUAAGUUUGUCUGCUUUUGAAUGGAAGCAUAUUAUUUGAGCUACUACAGUUUAUUAAUCAUGUGUUGGUUUAUUUUUCAUUCAUUCAAAGCAUUCAGGUGACUAUUGUUUAUGCUUGAAUUAUUGAUUAAUCCUUUUAUACAUGCUUUUAUGCAGAAAUAAUAGCUGGAUGUGUUUCUUUCCAAUUGACCAUUUAACCAAAAUAUGUCAAUGUGAUGUUGUUAUAACUUAAUAGUUAUAUUUAGUCAUUUUGUAUUUUCUUUAUUGUUGAUUAUUGUUAUGUCCAUUGUGGGGGAAAGAGGAUGUUUGAAAAUCAUGUUCUGUUAUGGGUUUAUUUCUCAAU